CUCGCCUCUGACGGAUCCCUCCCGGUUAACUUUUUGAUGUUUUGAUCGACGUUUUUUAGCCCUUCUUUUGCGAGUUCAACUUCGCGUUGUAGCGAACUAACAACAUCUCUGGCUGCCAUCUUGAAUAAUGAAUCACGUGCUAGGGCCUCCCACAUCCAGGUUUAUCCUUAAAAAGAGGAAUUUUGCAAAUUCCAAGAAUUUUUAAGAAUUGAGAAAUUUGAAUUUUAAUUAACUACAGUAUAUAACUG
This is a non-coding RNA of Paramuricea clavata, 248 nucleotides long. The record is from the annotation of a GenBank genome assembly. NCBI's taxonomy places the organism in Eukaryota, Metazoa, Cnidaria, Anthozoa, Malacalcyonacea, Plexauridae.